This 301-nucleotide ribosomal RNA is filed under the name uncultured bacterium. Its description in RNAcentral is "partial 16S ribosomal RNA". It matches the Rfam family "Bacterial small subunit ribosomal RNA", at positions 509 to 807 of the family's 1533-position model. The record is from RNAcentral.
CAGUCGCCGCGGGAAUACAGAGGGUGCGAGCGUUAAUCGGAUUUACUGGGCGUAAAGCGUGCGUAGGCGGCUUCUUAAGUCGGAUGUGAAAUCCCUGAGCUUAACUUAGGAAUUGCAUUCGAUACUGGGAAGCUAGAGUAUGGGAGAGGAUGGUAGAAUUCCAGGUGUAGCGGUGAAAUGCGUAGAGAUCUGGAGGAAUACCGAUGGCGAAGGCAGCCAUCUGGCCUAAUACUGACGCUGAGGUACGAAAGCAUGGGGAGCAAACAGGAUUAGAUACCCGCGUAGUCCAUGUCUCUUAUAC